Molecule: long non-coding RNA, 1673 nt
Organism: Triticum dicoccoides
Lineage: Eukaryota; Viridiplantae; Streptophyta; Magnoliopsida; Poales; Poaceae
Exons: 4
Source: RefSeq, a predicted model, not a curated record
CUCCGGCAACGCCCUCUCCCUCUCCUCGUCGCCGCUCUCUCACUCUCCUCGUCGCCGCCCUCUCCUCUCCCCGUCGCCGCCCUCUCCCUCUCCCCGUCGCCGGCCUCUUCCACCGCCCUUUUUCCUCACCACCCCGCCUCCACUCAUACCCCGUAAGUCAACAAAAUAUCGAUUCUUUUUGCGCCGGCGACGAGCUUCUAGGCGAAGGACGUGUGGAUGUGUAGCGGCGCCAGAGCUCGAUAUAGGCAACGAAGGCGUGGACGUGGAUCGGUGCCCGAGCGGUGGAUCUGGAGCGGCGGAUCUGGAGCGGCGCCCGAGCAACGGAGGGAGAUGGAGUUCCCUCCUGGCGUGGCGGCUCGAUCUGCAACGCCCGCAGCUGCGGUACGCCACCCUCGUUGCUGUCGCAGGGAGAUGCCGCUCUUCCCCUUCCCGGCCCGCCCUGAUGUGGUUUCCUCUCCGUGACCCGUCAUCGGAGGCACGGCCAGAGGCAUCCCCGCCGCGUGCAGCUGCUACUCCCGGACGCCGCCGCCGCCCUCCGCAAGGAGCGACGAUAACCUGAAGCUCUGCGGCCCGGCAUGCGCCGAGCGGCGCGUCGCGGGGGCACCGUCGCCGACCGGCCACACGACAUCGCUCUCGUCCAGCUAGAAGCAUGCGCUGUCGUGGCCUGCCUCCGGCUGCUUCAGCAGGCCAAGAAACUGGAACGCACCCAUGCCUGGCGACCUCAGCAUCUCCAUCGAUGAUGAUAAUUUGAUCGAAAAGGGACGGCAUGCUGAGGUGUACAAAGGACAGCUUGCUGAUUGAUAGUUUGUGGCAGUGAAGAGAUUAACAAAAAUACUUAACCAAGCAUGCUGAGAUGGCGUCGACCUUGGCCUCCUCGUCGACCUGACUCUGCAUUAAGAAAACUUGCUGGCAUCAAGUGUCCCCCUUCCUCCACCGGCAGCCUUCCAUCGAAUUCACAUCAGAAAACUUCAUUCAUUCACCCAGAAAAAAUAACUGACAUUGCCAACAUCUCACAAGAAAGAAGAGAGCAGAGUUGAAGUUGCGAGCCUGUUUACUUGCAGCUACACCUGUGUUCUUCUUCUUCUUCGCAGAAUCAAUCAGAUUCUCUUGAUUGGAGUGGAGAGGAGCAGAGACGAGAGGAGCAGCAGAAGUGGACAGCACAACGGCUGACCUCGAGCUCUUGAUUGGAGUUGGGGGAGGCGGCCGGCGAAGGAUCUGUGGCCAACAGUGAAGGAUCCGAAGCUGUGGCGGAGCAGGCAGCCGGCGGGAAGGGCGGCCGGCGAGGGAGCUGCGGACCGCGGCGGGGAAGGGCGACCGAUGAGGGAGCUGCGGACCGUGGCGGGGAAGGACGCCAGAGAUGCGGACGACGGAGGAGCCUGGCGAAAGGGAGUAGCGACGGCGUAGAAGCCUGGCGGAGGGGAGGAGCGACGGAGGAAGACGCCUCCCGAUUGAUUUCAAAUCGGGGGUAGUAUUUUACUUUCACACUGUUUCACCUGGUCGGAACGACGCCCCCAGCGACAAUUAUUUCGGAACGGAGGGAGUAGUUUAGUACUUCAUGUUAUGACCGUCAUAUUAGGGGCUUAGCCCAGGGUUGUGGCCCAAGUUAUCUUAUUGUUAUUAGGGGCUUAGCCCGAUUAUCUUAUCGUUUGCUUAGGAGUCAAGUAAACCUUUCU